RNAcentral lists this ribosomal RNA (253 nucleotides) under uncultured bacterium. Its description in RNAcentral is "partial 16S ribosomal RNA". It matches the Rfam family "Bacterial small subunit ribosomal RNA", at positions 524 to 776 of the family's 1533-position model. The record is from RNAcentral.
UACGAAGGGGGCUAGCGUUGCUCGGAAUCACUGGGCGUAAAGCGCACGUAGGCGGAUCUUUAAGUCAGGGGUGAAAUCCUGGAGCUCAACUCCAGAACUGCCUUUGAUACUGGGGAUCUCGAGUCCGGAAGAGGUGAGUGGAACUCCGAGUGUAGAGGUGAAAUUCGUAGAUAUUCGGAAGAACACCAGUGGCGAAGGCGGCUCUCUGGGACGGUACUGACGCUGAGACGCGAAAGCGUGGGGAGCGAACAGG